CAGAGAGGAGUCACAUCCCAUCGGAGCCCUAUGAGCCCAUCUCCCCACCCCAAGGUCCUGCUGUGCAUGAGAAGCAGGACAGCAUGCUGCUCUUGUCACAAAGGGGAAUGGAUCCUGCCGAGCAAAGGAGUGAUUCUCGAUCACCAGGAAGUAUAAGCUACUUGCCUUCAUUCUUCACCAAGCUUGAAAGCACAUCACCCAUGGUUAAAUCAAAGAAGCAGGAAAUUUUUCGUAAGUUGAACUCCUCUGGUGGAGGUGACUCUGAUAUGGGUAAGUGGGAUUUCUUUCAUGAACCCCAAAUAAAACAUGCCUUAACAA
This 318-nucleotide long non-coding RNA is filed under the name Rattus norvegicus (Norway rat). Its description in RNAcentral is "long non-coding RNA NONRATT005513". The record is from RNAcentral. Lineage: Eukaryota; Metazoa; Chordata; Mammalia; Rodentia; Muridae.